UACGUAGGGUGCAAGCGUUGUCCGGAAUUAUUGGGCGUAAAGAGCUCGUAGGCGGUUUGUCGCGUCUGCUGUGAAAACUGGACGGCUCAACCUCCAGCCUUGCAGUGGGUACGGGCAAACUAGAGUGCGGUAGGGGAGAUUGGAAUUCCCGGUGUAGCGGUGGAAUGCGCAGAUAUCAGAGGAACACCGAUGGCGAAGGCAGCUCGCUGGGACGUACUGACACUGAGGCGCGAAAGCGUGGGAGCGAACAGG
Molecule: ribosomal RNA, 252 nt
Filed under: uncultured bacterium
Lineage: Bacteria
Description: partial 16S ribosomal RNA
Rfam family: Bacterial small subunit ribosomal RNA
Source: RNAcentral